UUUUUUCUGCACCGCCCAUUGUAAGUGAGUUGAAUUGUGUGUGAGAGUGUGUAGGCAAUUAAUUGGGUGGUUUGCAUUUGCUGGAGUAUCGUGGUGCGCAAUUGGGUGCAACGUGGAUGCACCUUUCGACUCCCGUUUCUGCUUCCUCCUCGUUUGAUCUGCGCGUGGGAGAUGUAGCCGCGUCGAAUUUGGUGCCUUGUGUUCAAUUGAUUAUCUGCGCUCUAACAGUAUUUUAUUUGCUGUUUGAUUACUACAAAAUACUAUUCAAUUUGGAGGCCCUAUUUUGUCAUUAACUCUCACAAAGAUGACAACUUAUGAGAGGCAGGAUUCAAACGGUCUCGGUUGGGCAGACGAAUGGGACAGGAACUUCGAUGAUGAUGUUGACGGCACCCAAGGAAGGCGAAAGAGUAGCAAGAUGGAGAAGCUGAAGGCUGCAGCGUCCAGCAGUGUAGAAAAGACGAAGACUGCUGCUACACAUAGUGCACAGAAAAUGAAGUCAGGCACUUCGACGAGCUUACGUUGGGUUAAGGAUAAAGUUCACAGGAAGAAAUGAGUCUGCUCCAAUAUGAGCAAUUUUUGAGGUCGUGUCGAUCACCAUGGCCGUUUACGGUGGAUCCUUUUAGCCUCAGCGAUGGUGGAAGAAAGCGAAUUAUCGUUCACAGUGCCUCACUGGUCGUCCCUGAAUGUUGAUUGCGUCUUGAUGAAGACCGACUGCAUUGCACGAGAUAUGUGUGCUGGCAUCGCGGAAUACAACAUCAACAGAUGCAAUUAUCAUGCAAAGAGAUACGGAGAGAAACCAAUUGAAAGUCUCUCAUAAGAUCUUGGCGCAACAAUGUGCAGACUCCUGUUUUUAAGAUACCAGACUUGUUAGCAUUCGUGUUAAAAGUUUUUCUUUUUCUUUUUUCUAUUUUAUUGAAACUGAUUAGAUCUGUUAAGAGGGUGGUGAUUCAUAUUUUAGUCUAGCAUAUUCAACCAGAUUUUUCCCUCUUGAAUCAGGAAGGAACUCUCAUUGUUUGAGUGCUGAUUCUCAAUGUCCACGGUUGGUAGAUAAUUUAGUUUUCGUGUGAGUGUCCGAAUAUUUUCAGUGUCGCUGUUACUACAUAUCUUUUCAACAAUUUAGUUAUGUAUGGGGUGCUUUCGUGUGUAUAUAUAGCAGCUAUUUCUAAAACUGUGUGAACAACA
Molecule: non-coding RNA, 1182 nt
Organism: Physcomitrium patens
Lineage: Eukaryota; Viridiplantae; Streptophyta; Bryopsida; Funariales; Funariaceae
Source: RefSeq, a predicted model, not a curated record